This 604-nucleotide ribosomal RNA is filed under the name uncultured bacterium. RNAcentral's name for it is "bacterial SSU rRNA". The stretch from base 1 to 520 matches the Rfam family "Bacterial small subunit ribosomal RNA", at positions 338 to 873 of the family's 1533-position model. The record is from RNAcentral.
CCUACGGGAGGCAGCAGUAAGGAAUCUUCCACAACGGACGAAAGUCUGAUGGAGCAACGCCGCGUGCAGGAUGAAGGCUUUCGGGUCGUAAACUGCUUUUAUAUGGGAAGAUUAUGACGGUACCAUAUGAAUAAGGACCGGCUAACUACGUGCCAGCAGCCGCGGUAAUACGUAGGGUCCAAGCGAUAUCCGGAAUUACUGGGCGUAAAGCGUGUGUAGGUGGAUUAAUAAGUGUGAUGCGAAAUCCGGCGGCCCAACCGUUUGGACUGUGUCGCAUACUGUUAGUCUAGAGGACGGCAGAGGUAAGUGGAAUUACGGGUGUAGCAGUGAAAUGCGUAGAUAUCCGUAGGAACACCAAUGGCGAAGGCAGCUUACUGGGCCACACCUGACACUGAGACACGAAAGCGUGGGGAGCGAACAGGAUUAGAUACCCUGGUAGUCCACGCCGUAAACGAUGCAUACUAUUAGUAUGGGGUAUCGACCCCCUGUGCUGAGAAGCUAACGCGAUAAGUAUGCCGCCUGGGGGNGACGAGNGCGAGACGUAAACGUAACGAAGUAAGUUAGAGUCGUUGAGAGNGCCGACGGACGACGACGAGGGAGGAGG